AAGCAUAUUAAUAAGCGGAGGAAAAGAAACUAACCAGGAUUCCCCUAGUAACGGCGAGUGAAGCGGGAAGAGCUCACGUUGUGAAUCUGCGCUCUGCGUGGAAUUGUGGUCUGUAGACUCUUGCGUUAUUGGGCCGGGCCAAGUCCCUUGGAACAGGGCAGCCGAGAGGGUGAGACUCCCGUAUGCCUGGCCCUUGGAGCGAGUGUCGACGAGUCGAGUUGUUUGGGAUUGCAGCUCUAAGCGGGUGGUAAAUUCCAUCUAAAGCUAGAUACUGGUGGGAGACCGAUAGCGUACAAGUACCGUGAGGGAAAGAUGCAAAGCCGCGCGAAAGCGCUGUUAAAGAGUACCUGAACUUGCUGAAAAGGAAGCGRAGGAAACCAGUGCCAGCUGCGUCAUACUUCCCCUGCUGCUUGCGGCCGGGGCGCUGUGGCCAGCGUUGUCAGGCUUGUUUGUCGGGAUCGGAGAUGCGCGCGGGUAGUUGACCCGCGUCGCUUGCGGUCCCGGCGAAUGCAGCCUGUCGAAAUGGUUUUCUUUUUCCCG
Molecule: ribosomal RNA, 540 nt
Filed under: Amphora thumensis
Lineage: Eukaryota; Bacillariophyta; Bacillariophyceae; Surirellales; Surirellaceae
Description: partial large subunit ribosomal RNA
Source: RNAcentral